This 51-nucleotide ribosomal RNA is filed under the name Meyerozyma guilliermondii. RNAcentral describes it as "partial 26S ribosomal RNA". Lineage: Eukaryota; Fungi; Ascomycota; Pichiomycetes; Serinales; Debaryomycetaceae. The record is from RNAcentral.
UUUGACCUCAAAUCAGGUAGGAAUACCCGCUGAACUUAAGCAUAUCAAUAA